Molecule: long non-coding RNA, 8745 nt
Organism: Bubalus bubalis (water buffalo)
Lineage: Eukaryota; Metazoa; Chordata; Mammalia; Artiodactyla; Bovidae
Exons: 6
Source: RefSeq, a predicted model, not a curated record
AAGCCUUUACAGUGUUUCUUACCCUCGUAGGGAGGUCCCUCCCGGGGUCCCAGUCCCCCCUCCAGCCCCACGGGGUAGCUGUGGGUGGGCCGUGGCUCUUCCCAGAAGGAAGCAGGCAGCUGUCUUUUCCUCAUGGGCACCUGGCCAGGCCUGGCAGCUCCUGGAUCCGGCCCAUGGAGGGUCCGCUCCCUAGAGAGGCUUUCCUCCCGGUCCAGGUUCCCCAAUGCCUUCUCCUUGCAGCCCCCACCCCCGCCGGGGCUGGAACCGUGGCCAGAUUCGAGGGGCAGCAACCUCCCGGGCCGGUCCUCGGGCCCCCUUUUCAGGUGAGGUUCAGCCCCUCUGCCGGGGAGGCCCCGCGGGAGCCGGGAAUACUUCUGGGAGAAGCGUUUGAGCUGCUUCUGCAGGUACUUGCGGUGGUCCACCGAGCGGCGGCAGGGCGCGGACUUGUCCAGGGCCGCCUUGAUGUCGCUGGACGCCAGGUUCACGAAGUUUAGCAGCAUCUUCACGUCACUGUCGGAUGCCAUCACCAGAGCGCUGCUGCACCGGGCUUUCCAUGAAGAGGCUGGGUUCUCCAGGCAGCUGGCAGCUCCAGGGAAGAGCACAGAGCCAACCUGGCGAGGGACACAGCAGCCAUUGGUGUCUCUCUGAGCAUCCACACUCCACCCUCCCCAAAGGCUACAUGGCUACAGACAGGAGUGGUCCCCACCUCAGCCCCCCUCAGGCCUAGACAGAAUCCCUGGGUCAUGGGAUAUCCAUUUAGGCUGCUAAGCAUCUCCCAGAGCCUAUGGGAUGCAAUGGGAAGAAACCCAUUUCAUCUUCAACAGGGCUCCGCACCUGCAGGUGAGGCUGAGACAGGUCAGGCAACUUGCCCAAGGCCACUUGGCCCUACCAAGUGGCAUUGCUGGGGCGGGAGCCCACCAGCAAUGGUGCGUGGCUCCCCACACACCACGCUGCCCGCAGGGCACGACUUGCCAGCAAGGUUUUCAUUUUCUGAGCCUAGGCAGCCGCUCUACUUUAAGGCAAGGCCAAGCCCCCUGGUUGCCUGGCGGUGCCCUCCUCCUCCCACUCCCGCCCCCAAGUCCUGCUAGCAGCUGCCCCCCCACCUCGGUCCCCACGCUCCACCCACAGGUCUCACGCAGGACAGGCAGGACCCCUGUCUGGCACUCAAGCCGAGGCCUGCCUGGCGGGCUGAUCGCAGGCUGUGGGCAGCAGGGGCUCCCCCGUAGAAGCAUCUGCAGCAAUUUCAUGCCUCCUCGGCCACCACCCCGCAGCCCCCCGCCCCUCCCCCAGGCCCCGGCCAGCCCCACGCCCCCCACCUAGUGGGGCCUGAGCCGCCAGGGCCUCCACACUGACCAAGAGUGCGGGGGCCCGGGCCCCCGCCAAGGUGGCCCGGCAGAGGUUUCCCCCACGCCGCAGACCUGGGCCAGGCCUGGCGCGGCCGGCGAGCUCCGUGGUCCGGCUGGAGGCAGUUGUGCCGCCCUCGAGUGGGCUGAAUGGAGGACGACGGGUCCCCGGAGCUGGGGGGCCCUCAGGCCAAUCAGGAGCGCCUCUCCAGAUACAAAGCAUCCCAAGCAGGCGGCGGCCCCGUUCCCACAUUCUUUGCCGUCACAAAUUGUCACCAUGGGGACCAUCACAAAAAAGACAGCUCCCAAAUGCAAUCAUUUCCCGGUAAAUUUCUACCCUUCAGCCCACUCUCCCUUCUCGGCCUCCACGCUCCUCCUCCCCUUGACCUCAGUUCCCUGGUUUCUCGAGGGGGCGGGGUGUGUUGUGUGCGUGCGCGUAUGUGUGUGUGUGUGUGUGUGUGUGUGUGUGUGUAUUUAAAAAGUCCAAGAUUGAGGAGGGCUUGGACCCAGAAGAGAUGGGCUUGCAAACCUCCCCCCAGGACUCCGAGCCCGCACCGGCCAUGCUCCAGUGCAGACAGACAAUCGGACGGGGUCCCGGAGCUUCGUGGGACUCGAGUCUGCGUCUUUAAAAAUCUCCAGAGCUCUUAAUAGGGGCUGUUCUUCCACCAAAUAAAGGAGAGAGAUGGUCAUUGGACACCCGUUGUUCGCUUCCAUCCCCGUUGGUCACUUCCUUCCCCAUGCAGACAUCACCAACAGAUCACAACACCCUCUCCUGCUGACCCCUGCAGCGGCUCUGCACCUUUCAGCAGCCUCCACUAAACAAAUAAGGUAUCAUGCCCUCCACCUGUUGCACCCCGACUUCUUUCUGGAAAACGCCUACUCAUCCAUCAAGACACAGCCCAAGUAUCACCCCCUCCAGGAAGUCUCCCAGUACUUGCCAUUCGCAGUUGAUUAACUCCUUGGAGCUCCCACAGCACCCACUUGGGCUUUUCUCUGGGUUUCUAUUACUCUAUACUUGCAUCUCCUUCUCUUCCCCUCAGGCUGGGGAAAUUACUUCCUGCAUGCUAAGUUGCUUCAGUAGUGUCUGACUCUUUGUGACCCUAUGGACUAUAGCCUGCCAGGCUCCUUUGUGCAUGAGAUUCUCCGGGCAAAAAUACUGGAGUGGGUUGUCAUGCACUGCUUCAGGGGAUCUUCCUGACCCAGGGAUCAAACCUGUGUCUCUUACAUCUCCUGCAUUGGCAGGUGGGUUCUUACCCACUAGCGCCACCUGGGACUUCCCUAAUUGCUUCCUAGGUGGCCCAAAGGAGAUCAUGUGCCCUUAGUCCAUCCAGGGGCCUCAGGCCCCCUUGAGAAGCAGGGUAAACAAAGAGCGAGUUAAGCUGUCCCAGCCCCUCCCAGACUACAACGUGUUUCUAGGCAUUUUAGGUAGAAGGAGGAGGUUGUCACUACAGGAAGGGAACUUGACAAUUAGAAACACAGCCAACGCCCAGAUGCCCAUGGACAGGCAGGGGUGUAUUUUUUUUAGUAAAAUCUCAUGUCUGUAGCGUCAGGCAAAAUGGCAACAAGAAGGCUUUUUCAUGACUGCACGAGUCUUAAGAUGCUUCCUGAUCUUUCGUUUUACAGAUGGGGAGGCUCAGAGGUGGGAGGGGCCUGACCAGGUCACCAGGCAGUGCCCUUCCUCCCGGUGCUGGGGAUGGGCUUGGCUCUGAGCUUGAAACUGGCACGUCGUGGCCCACAGUGGCUUACUAACAGCAGCUCAAACUACAGAGCAGCUAGAGGGAACCCUGGCACUUAACACUGAGGGUGGAGGGUGGGCAGCUUUGAGUGUCAGCUGGUCACCUUGCAGUCCAGACAGGUCCAACACCCUAUGACCCCCUUGUUGGCCUGGGCAGCGGGAGAUGGUGCCCCAAGGCGCCCCCUGCUGGAGGAGCAGUUAAAGGACUCGGCCCCCAGAGCCGGCAGGACACAGGCUUGCCACUCUCAUCGGCUUCCAGCCCCGCCUGCGUGGAUUCCAAGUUCACUGUGUGCGAGUGGGUGUAAGAGAUUAUCCUGGAAGAGACUUCACUGGUCUCCGCGACAGAGUAGGGCUCUCCAGGAGGGUGUCAGCACCCAAGUGGGGAGAAGUAAAGCUUAUACCAUGAGGAAGGUGCAGCAGCAGCAGUCCUGGCCGGAGAGGACAGCCGGACCUUGGGUCUCCUUGGGUCGUCUCCGAUUUGGUGAGAAGCCUGGUCUCCCUGGCUCUAGCAGGAAGGAUGUCACCAUGAGUGAAGAUGCAGGAGAAAGGAAGGCAGUGCUGGUCUGCUUCUGGACGGAUCAUUCAUGAUACGCAUGGUCCAAAGGGUUACAAACCAGGCAGCUUUUCCUGCUCCAGCUUUCGAAGAGAAGCAGACACGACUUAGCGACUGAGCACACAUAUAAAAGUCCAUCUUGGCCCAUAUGUUCAUCUCACUCCAGGAGAUUCUCUGGAAUGGAGAAAGAACCCAAGUGGCAAUUGUUUGUGGUGAAAAGCAGCAGAAGAGAAGUCCCGUCAGCUGGAAAGCGUCGGAGCCUCAGCGAGCGGCCCCCUCCCGCAGCUGCGGCGCCUCUUAUUAACACAGACGUAAUGACAUUAGGCCGCCUGAUUAAGUCAGCAGCCCUGGGCCCUGCCACCCCUCAUCCCAGAGUUACAGCCUCAUUUUUCAAUUAUAUUUUAAUUUGAACAUCUACAGAGAACGCCUGGCGAACACAGGAGUCCCGGAGGAGAGCUGGGCAUGGUUCAGCCUGUCUUUCCCUCCCCCCUGGAGUGGACGAAGCACAUUUUGCAGGUCUGGGAUCUGGGUCCUCUUCCCAGAUCCUGAACCUCAGACUUGAGAAUUCUUCCAGCCCCAUCUGAGUGCCAUCUGUUGUCCUCAGUCAUGACACAGGAAAUGUUCAAGCCAAGAGGAUUCCUCAGAGAUCAAAAUCAGCCUUUUCACUGACAAGUGGGGAAAUGAAGUUCCCAAAGGGCCUGGACUUGCUUGGAGCCCAGCCAGACCCAACUCAAAGACUCUAGAUUUCUAAACCAGAAUCCAAAGAAGCAAACACCUCAGAUGGAUGUUGGGCCCUCUGUAGAGCCAUCUUGCUGCCGUGAUAAAUGGAAGGGCCUCUGCCACCGAAGGGUGCACAGACUGGGGUCCAAGGGCUGGUGCUGGUCAAGCCCCUUAUGGCCUCCUGGGUACCUGUCUGCAGUUCCCAGGGCCGCCACUAGGUGGCCCCAGGCAUCGCCAACCAGCGCUUCAGGGUCCAGUCGGUUUCCACCCACUGGGACUGGAAGAGUGCAGAAUGCUCCUGCUGGUCUCCAUCCUCCCCUCUCCUUGUAAAUUGAAUCCGCCGAACACUGAGAGUUCAGGUUCUAAAUUUUCAGCAGGUGCAGAAGCACAAGGACUGGAGGGAGAGGCCUGCUCAGGUGUCCUGAGCAUGUCUCCUCUUAUUUCCGAGUCUCCCUUACGCUUCCUUACUCACCUUACACACCUGUGAACAGGUGUGUUAAUAGCCUCCUGCCUCACAGAGUUGUUAUAACAAUACUGGGUGUGGAGCCCCGUGGGAAUGGCAGCCCAAAAGUUCCAAAUGCCAGACCAGAGUCACAUCCUCUGGGAGACUGUUGACAAGCACAGCCUGGGAGCCAGAGUCAGAAGCAAAAGGUCUAGAGCAGGCAGAUCCAUCGGUGAGGGUCCUCCCGGCCAGCAGGCAAGCAGGCGGAGGGGAGUACGUCUCGACACAGAAUGCUCACGAGGGCGGGGUCCUGACCCUCAGCACUGGCCCAGAGCUCUCCCCUUGCACCAGAGCCGCCUUCCUCCAGGGCAAAAGAAAGGUCACCAAGACACCUUGCAGCACCCUGCACUCAUUCUGGUGGGAGGCAGACCAUGCAAACGCUUGCAGCCCUGCCUGGGAAGUGAUGGCCUCGCAGUGGGACAGGAACCUGCGGGGGUGCUGUGAUCCACUGUGAGGCGUUGGGCAAGGCAACGGCUUCCAACCACUUCCAGAAGCCCGGUGCUUGUCCAUGAUGCACUCAACAAAUGAAAGCAGACUUCCCAUACAAACAUCACUCUCAUGCAAGGCAGGCUUUCCAGAAUGUUCUGGGAGUAGAUGUAGCAUGACCGUGCAGAGAGUUCAGCCGCAAAACCUCAGGCCUGUGUCCUGCUGAGAUGCCUUGGGGUAGUGGAUAGAUGGGGAGUCUUUGUGCUUUGAACAUUACCCUUACCAGAGAGUGGUUUGGGGUUGAUGUUUGGUGGAGGGAACUCUCGAGCUGGGUCUUCGAGGAGGUGAAAGGAUGCCCAGGAAGUGAGAGCACGUGUGAAAGGGACAGAAGACUGCCAAGGCCUGAUGAGGCCACACACAUCUGAUAAGGCUGGAGAGACGGGAGCAGAAGGUGGGCAAUGGUGGGGUAGUCUCACGGGGGCUGGACCUGGAAGGGCUCCUAAGCCAGGCUGAGCUGUUCAGAUUUUGCACAGAAAUUCACAAGUACCUCUGAAGGCUUCUCACCUCCUUGAGGGCAUAGACUGGGGGACAGGGAGACCAGAUGGCAGGAGCAGCAGGGGGACAGAGCAGCGGAAGUGACAGCAGAGGUGGGAGGCAGGGCCAGACACUGGAGAUGCUUAGGUCGCGGGAUCUACCGGACAUGGGUCCACAGCAGCAACGGACAGGCUGAGGACUGCAGAAAAACCAGAGUGGCCAGAGGGAAGGAGGAGGGGGCAGGGGACAGGGUGCCCGGCAGCUGAUGGUGUCUGGGUGUGAGAGGCCCUGAGAGCUUGUACCUGUGUGAGCCUGGCUUCAGGACGGCCCCUUAGGAAGAUGGAUCUGGAGCAGAGGGAGCAGGAAGGAUUGGCAAGAGGACCCAGAGAAAGGGUAGGGAAUCAAUGUUCAGGGAAAAUUCCCUCUGCAGUGGCACACAGAGCAGAUGGACAAGGAUGUGGAGGUGGGUACACAGCCAGGACUGCAGGGGACACAGGUGGAAUUCCAAGGGAGAGAAAGUAAGGGCAGACUCACAGAAACUUCCAGGGCCCCAGAGGGGUCUGCAGAGGAGUCACUCAAGAAUAACUGGGAACAACUCACUGUGUGAUCAUAUGCAAAUCCCUUCUCACCUCUCAGCCUUGUUUUCCUUAUCUAUGUAGUAAAUAAAAGGGUGGAUGAGGUAAGGUCCUGAGAGUGUGGACCUUCCUGAGUUGUCUAACUAGAGUAUAUUCCUACUUCUUAAGGAAAACAUCAGCUAGCAAGAUUGAUGGGGAUGUCUACACAGCAUAUAGGCCACUUCUGGACAUGCCCUCUGAACAGUCAUAGAAGUCUAUUUUGUGUAAGUCCAGCCAGGGCUGCUGUGUACAGUUGCACAGGCUAGGCACUGCACAACUCCAGGCACUGCCAUCUCUUUAGACUAGAGCAUGAGGGAGGCAUGCAAAGCAGCCACUCUGCUGAGAGCAUCCUGGCUGUUCCAUGGACAGGCCCCACAUAGAGCAGCUGCAGUGCCUACCCCUGGGAGCCUGGAAACUAUUAAAGUGGUUGGAGAGACUGGGAAAGGCCAUGUAUCAGGCAAGUGAGGACCUGAGUUCAAGGAUGACCUGCUGUGUCACAUGGCAGGCCUUCCCCCUUCUGUCUGUUUCUCUGUAAAGUACCUGGGACAAGUGGGUCUUCAAGGCCUCGUCCAGCUUGUGUUCCACACUUCUCUGUGGAGCUUGCAGCAGCCCCCACAUGGCUGAUGCCGAGGUCAUGACUCCUGCCAGGGUCCAUGACAGACUCCAGCACUGAGGGGCCACGUGGCCUCUCCCGGCCCCUCCCUGCUACUCCUGGAAGCUGAGACUUUUCCAUGGGCCUGCAUGCUGCAGAGCAGACCCUAUGCUGGGCCCAGUCCAACCCACAUGCUCCCAGGAGCCCUGGGAACUCACUUCCAGCCUCAGUGGCUUCCUCCUGGCUGUGGCCAUGAACCAGGGCUUCGUGACUGCCUUGGCUGCCAGGCCAGCAUUAAAUGUCCAGACUAAGCAGUUGAUCAAGAAUCACAUGACAGCUGGGCAGUUCUUGUUUAAACCAUCAGUAUCGCCUUUACACCCCAUGAGUAAAACCUCUGGAUGUGCUGCUGAGAAAAGCACACAGGGCCUUCAUCUUGGGGACCCUCUAGCCUAUGGAUGGGGUUGGUGAGAUUCACUGCUUCGCAGAAAUCCAGCCUCAUUACAGAGCACCACUUAACAUAAUGCAUAGCACGCACGCAUACUUUACAGUCCGUAGAGCCCUUUCCACACUCAUUAAGUCACUCGACAAACACCAAGGCCCUUUCUGGGUUAGCUCACAGGGGCCAUGGACAUGAAUCCGCAUUGCUCAAAAUCAUUCACAGAGCACCUGCCUCAGAGCUCAUUAGAGUCUCAUGAACAAUGAGCUUGGAAUUAUUUUCAGCCCCAUUUUGCAGAGAUGGAAACUGAGGACAGGAAGACUGAGGGACUUAGCCAAGUGCUUGUGGCUAGUCUUGAACACAGGCAGCAAACUCAAACCCUCGGGUUCUUUGUUCCACCCCAGGUGCUGGGACCUGGGUCCAGCACCUUCCCUUUCUGGGCCUCAGUUUCCUGGCCUGUCCAGUGACAGGGACCCUGUAGAGGUAACACAGCUGUGAUGUCACAGAUCCUUUGAUCCUAUAUCUGCCAUGGGUUUGACAAGCAAAAGAGUUAGCUUCCAAGAUCAAGUUGGCAGACAGAAAGCUCUAAAUCAGAACAGACUCUGCCUGGCAAGCCAACCAGGCCAGCAGGUGUUCAGGCCAAGACUGAAACAUGCACAACUCACUUUAUAAACUAUAAACAUCCCGCAAUCCGAGUUCCAGCUGUCUACUACCCUGCCUGUGAGCUGACGUCUGCCGGCUCUGACCCAAGUUUCAGCCCCGAAACUGGCGUUUCAUUUCUCCCCAAAGUGUCUCACAUUGUAAAUCAGAUGCUGGGCUAUGGAGGGGAGCGGGGAGACUGUCAGAGGCCAGACCUGGCCACGCUGUGCACAGGGCGGAAGUGGCAGAACCCCCAGAGGGUGAAGGAGAAACAGCGGGCCUGCUCGCAGCGAUGGAGCUCGAGGCUCCUGUGCACCUGGAAUCUGCCCAUGAGGCCUCAGUGCUAGGCACCAGGUUGAGAGCAGUGCGUGAAGUUAGAAGCAGCUCGCUGUUAAACCAUCAUAGAAAGGAAAAUAUUUUUUUAAAAGGAAAAGGGACUUCCCUGGUGGUCCAGUGUCUAAGAAGCUGCAGUCCCAAUGCAGGGGACCCAGGAUGGAUUCCUGGUCAGGGAACUAGACCCCACAAGCUGCAACGAAAGAUCACGCUUGCCUCAACUAAGACCCAUGCGUGCGUGCUAAGUUGCUGCAGUCGUGUCUGACUCUUUGCGACUCUAUGGACUGUAGCCCACCAGGCUCCUCUCUCCAUGGGAUG